GACAGAGAGGACCGUGAAGAGACACCACGCUGCCAAAGGAGUAACAUGUCGGAUUACAGUUAAUGUCAACCUGGCAAGAUCUCCAUAGGCCGCAAGUCUCUGGGCAGUGCAGUUGGAGGGAGUUUCUGAAUUGAGAGUUGCAGUGGGAAGACCCACCUUAAAUACGGGUUGCACCAUUCCCUGGGCUGAGGCUCUGGACCAAAUACAAGGAAGAAAUGAAACAGCACGAAGGCUUCAUCAGAGGUGAAGUUCAUCCUGACUGCAGAUGGAAACGGACCAGCCACCUAAGGCUCCCACUGCCUGAGCCUUUCAUCACCCUCAAGCUCUGAGCCAAACUUAACCCUUUCUUCUUGAAGCUGGGUUUGUUUUUUUGUUUUCCCCCAGUGGUGAGAAUACAUAACACUCUGCCUUCUACUGCUCUAAA
Long non-coding RNA from Mesocricetus auratus (golden hamster), 424 nucleotides. RefSeq lists it as uncharacterized. The record is from RefSeq and is a predicted model, not a curated record. NCBI's taxonomy places the organism in Eukaryota, Metazoa, Chordata, Mammalia, Rodentia, Cricetidae. The transcript is spliced from 2 exons.